This is a long non-coding RNA of Homo sapiens (human), 7626 nucleotides long. RefSeq lists it as uncharacterized. NCBI's taxonomy places the organism in Eukaryota, Metazoa, Chordata, Mammalia, Primates, Hominidae. The transcript has 3 exons. The record is from RefSeq and is a predicted model, not a curated record.
CCUAGGAGAAAAAGAAAUAUUAAAUCAUUGCAAGACAGCUAGUCAGAGAAAUAAAAAUUCUUUUUCAUUUUAUUUUACAUUUUAAUUGACAAAUAAAAAAUAUAUAUAUAUUAUGUAUAACAUGAUAUUCUGAACUAGGUAUAUAUUGUAGAAUGGCUCAAUCAAGCUAAAUAACAUAUGCAUUAUUCCACACACUUAUUUUUGUGGCGAGGACAUGUAAAAUCUACAUUUUUAAAAUUACUAUUUAAAAAAAAACUUUUUUUAGAGAUAGAGUCUCAGCAUCUUGCCCAGGCUGGCCUCGAACUCUUGGGCUCAAGUGAUCCUCCUACCAUGGCCUCCCAAAGUGCUAGGAUUACAUGCAUGAGCCACCACGCCCAGCCUUAGUUAUUAUUUUUAAAAGACAGGGUCUCACUCCUGUUGUCCAGGCUGGAGUACAGUGGUGCAAUCACAGCUCACCAUAGCCUCAACCUCCUGGGCUCAAGUGAUCCUCUAACCUUAGCCUCCCAAGUAGCUGGGAUCACUGGUACACACCACCACAUCUAAUUUUGUUUUGUUUUGUUUUGCUUUUUUUUUUGGUAGAGACAGGGUCUCACUAUGUUGCCCUGUCUGGUCUCAUUCCUGGGCUCAAGCAAUUCUCCCAUGUUAGCCUCCAAAAGUGUUGGGAUUGCAGGCAUGAGCCAGUGCAUCUAGCCAAACUCUACUUUCUUAGUGAUUUUCAAAAUACAAUACAUUGUCAUUAACUAAAGUCACCAUGUUGUACAAUAGAUCUCUGAACUUAUUUCUCCUAUCUGAAAUUUUGUGUCCUUUCACCACCAUCUCCUCAAAGCCCCCCAUCCUCCUAGCCCCUGGUAACCACCAUUUUAUUUUCUACUCAUACUUUUUUAGAUUCCACAUAUCAGUGAGAACAUGUGGGUAUCUGUCUUUCUGUGCCUGGUUUAUUAAUGUCUUUUAGGUUCAUCCAUGUUGUUCCAGAUGACAGGAUUUUCUUCUUUUUUUAAGAGUGAAUAGUAUUCCACUGUGUAUAUAUCCCACAUUCUCUUUAUCCAUUCGUUCACUGAUAGACAUUUAGGUUGAUUCUGUAUCUUGGCUAUUGUAAAUGGUGCUGCAAUGAACAUUGGAGUGCAGAUAUCUUUUUGACAUACUGAUUUCAUUUCCUUUGGAUAUAUUAAAAAUUCUAUUCCAACUGUGUGGCUUACCCCUUGGAUUAAAACAUCUUAACAUAAGCCCAUUUCCUACUAAGAGAGGUCCUUCAGAGAGUAAGGUAGAACUAGAUUGUUCAACCAAGCCCAUUAUAUAAAAGGCUAUGUUAGGCAUCCAGCUUUGCCUGUUGGUGGCAGGUCCACCACGGAAGAAGCCCUAAUUCCAGAAUUCUAGGAAUCACACCAAGGUUGUCUUCAUGUUGGCUAUGUAAGAAUUUGUGCAACUAAGUGCUUUUAUCUUCCUAUGUUAUUUGUUUGUGCUAAUCAUAAUUGAUGGUAUUUUACCUCAAAUAUCAAAGAAUGUAUUUCAAAUCCCAGUAUUAGUCCAUUAUAUUUUUAUUUUUCUCUUAUUUGGCUUGAGAGUAAAGAAGAGGCAGACUGGAGGAUAUUAAGAGGAUGUACCUCCUGAAAGGAACAGAUACUUGAGAGGGGUAAGGAAGUUGACAGAGUUUCAAUUCUUAGAAAUAUUGCUGAGACAAGUUACCUAGCAGUUACCAAAGGAAUGUUAGUAACCUUAAACCAAGGGUGGGGAAGCAGGGAGUGCUUAAUAUGUGCCAUAUCUACUUCACAAUUUUACUUCAGGCAAAGCCAGCCAGGCUCUCAAAAGCUAACAUGAGACUACAAAUUGUGGAAUCCCAAAUUGUAGGACACCAAUCCAUUAUAUCUAGCAUCUAGAAUUCAAAGUGUCAAAGAAUUCAAUCCCGUAAAUAACUCUUUUAAUCUACUGGGAGAUGGUCUAUGUAAGUUCACAAAGAGCACCCAACAUCUAGUAUAGCAUCUGGCAUGUUAAGUAUUCAAAACUGGCAGUCAUUUUUAUUUUAACAGUUACACUGUCAUUACUUCCUUGGCUUCUGAGAUAGCUCUGCCAUAUUCAUGGUGUUGGAGAGAACCACUAGCUACCUCUCCCACUGCCCCUCCCACAUGACAGAUCUCUUGAUGGAGAGUACAAAGGAAGAAGAACUGAGGGGACAAUCAGAACUCGGGACAGGACAAGGAGUAGUGACAACACCGAAGUAAAUAAUAAUAAAGUAAAUGUACCAUAUUUGGAAUAAUGUCACUUCUUGACAAUGUGUGGUUUCUCUGAGACUGAUUAAAGCCUGACUUUUGGGUGGCUCACAUCUGUAAUCCUAGCAACUCAGAAGGCUGAGGCAGCAGGAUCAUGAAGGCCAGGAGUUUGAGAGCAGCCUAAGCAAUACAGUGUGACCUGCUCCCUAAAAAUAAUAAUAAAAAAAAUUUAAAUCUGACUUUUGGCUUUGUGUAACCCUAAUCUCAUUUUCUACAUUUAAAGUUUAAAAAUAGGGCUAUGGUGCUGCCAAUUCUUCACAACUACUCAAAAAAAUGAUUUUGAAACACUCUUAAGGGAUUCAAAAUAGCAGAGAUAUAAAUGUUUUCUUACAAACUUAAAAACGAAACAAACUAAAAGGGUAGGCCCCUAUUCCUGUCCUUAUUUAUUCCACAUGUGAAAAAAAUAUCCUUCAGUAACUAGACUUUUGAAUCUAUUUCUGUGUCUUAUGUUUUUCUUCCUCUCACCCCUUGUAAUUAAGAAAUGAGCUCUAUCUUCUCUUUUCCUCCUAGUGGCAUUUGUUUCUUAAUUCACGUGAGUUAGUAUUCUGGACAAUGGAUUAUCACCUACAGAUUUUGCUUCCUGUAGCAAGUUCCGUCAUCACUGGCUGAGAAAAGUAUUGGCUGUUUUUCAUAGUGUCUGCUUGGCCUAUACUUUUUAUUAGAUCAUGGUGAUAGGCAUUCUUAAGUUCCUUUACCUGGUGGUUAAUCUGUAGAAUGACAGAAUAUUGGCUGCAGGGGCACCUUAACACCUCUGCUUGUCUUCUGCAGCAUCUCCAGUGAGUCAUCUGACCUCAGCUUUUCCCUCCUGGUGAUGGGACACUCACUAUUGUAAGACGCAGUUCACUGCUAGAUAGUUCUUCCUUUAUAUUGGGCCUAUAAAAACCAUCUAUCUGACCUGAGUCUGCCUAAAAUAAAACAAAAACUCUCUUUCCCUUCUUCCUCUGAUAGUACAAAUAUUUUAUGUCCCUAUUUCUUUUUUUCCAAGAGGAAUUAUUCCAAUUCCUGAUCCUUUCGAGAACAGAGCUCAAAACUGGAGGUUGCUUCUGGUUCUGCGAUUCAUGAGAUUCUGCAAAAUAACAGCCACUAUUUCUCUAGAUUUUCCUAUUAAUGGUAUCAAAUUUGCUUUGACCAAAUCUCGGGUCAAAAUAACUAGAAAUUUUAUCAUACAAUUUAAAAAUAAUUCCACACAGUUUUGUGAUUCCUUUCGCAUAACCAAUUUGGUCAAAGUGGCAUGGUACUAGUGAAUUUACAUGAUCUAAUUCCAGUGCUGGAUGCAAUUUUUCCAAAAUCCAAGAAUGAGGUCUAUAAUGGAUAUGUGUUUUACAACCCUCUGAAUUUUUCUAUUUUUCUGAAUUUUCUAUUGCAAAUUUCUACAUUUGCAAUGUGUACGUCAAAUAAAAGAAAAAUGAAAUACAAUGUAAUAUAUAAAAUACAAAUAUAAAAGCAGUAUAUAAUAGCUAACAUCAACGGUAAAAGAAUGAAUGCUUUCCUCCUCAGAUCAAGAACACGAUAAGGAAGGCUUCUUUCACUAUUCAACUUUGUACCAUUUUGUACAACUUUGUACAACUUUGUACUAUUCAACAUUGUACUAGAAGUUCUAGCCAGAGCAAUUAGGCAUGAAUAAGAAAUAAAAGAGAUCCAAACUGGAAACAAAGAAACAGAAUAAUUUCUAUUUGUAGAUCCUAAAGAAGUCACAAAAUAACUGCUAGAUCUAAUAAACUAAUUCAGCAAAGUUGCAAUGUAAAAGAUCAACACACAAAAUCAAUUGUAUUUCUAUACAUUAGCAAUGAACAAGCAGAAAAGGAAAUAAUUCCACUUAUGAUAGCAUCAAAAAUAAUAAAAUACUCGGGAAUCAAUUUAAUCAAAGAGGUAUAAGACCUGUACACUGCCCAUAUGCGGUGGCUCAUGCCUGUAAUCCCAGCACUUUGGGAGGCUGAGGCGGGCAGAUCACAAGGUCAGGAGUUCGAGACCAGCCUGGCCAACAUGGUGAAACCCCGUCUCUACUAAAAACAUACAAAAAUUAGCCGGGCCUGGUGGCGUGCACCUGUAAUCCCAGCUACUCAGGAGGCUAAGGCAGGAAAAUUGCUUGAACCCAAGAGGCAGAGGUUGCAGUGAGCCGAGAUCGCGCCACUGCAAUCCAGUCUGGGCGACAGAGUGAGACUCUGUCUCAAAAACAAAAACAAAAACCACUGCUGAAGGAAAUUAAAGAAUAUCUAAAUAAGAGAAAAAGCAUCCUAUGUUAAUGGACUGUAAUAUUUAGUAAGAUGGUAAUACUCCCCAAACUGAUCUACAUUGUCAAUGCAAUUUCUAUCAAAAUCCCAACAACCUUUUUUGUAGAAACAGAAAAGCUGAUCCUAAAAUUCAGAUAGAAUUGCAAGGCAUCCCAAAUAACAAAACCUUGAAAAAGGAAAAUGUUAGAGGACUUACACUUGUCAAUUUCAAAACUCACUACAAAGCAACUAUUACCAAAAUAGUUUGGUAUGAGCAGACAGACAGACAUCCAAUGAAUCAGAACUAAAAGUUCUGAAGUAAACCCUCACAUAUAUGGUCAACUGAUUUUCAUCAAGGAUGCUAAGACCAUUCAAUGGAGAAAGAAUGGUCUCUUCAACAAUAAUACUAUUAGGAAAACCUGAUAUCCACAUACAUGUAUAUGGAUGGAUGAAUGCAUGAAUGAAGCUGGACCCCUUACCUUACAUCAUAUACAAAAAUUAACUCAAAAUGGAUCAAUGGCCUAACUGUAAGAGCUAAAACUAUAAAAAUGUUAGAAGAAAACACUGGGAUAAAUCUUCAUAACCUUAGGUUUGGCAAUGGAUUCUUAGGUAGUCUUAAAAGCAUGGGCAAUGCAAGAAAAAAAUACAUAAAUAAUCAAAAUUAAAAACUUUUGUGCACCAAAGGAUACUACCAAAAAGUGAAGACAACUUACAGAGUGGGAGAAAAUAUGUGCAAAUUAUGUAUCUGAUAAGGGUCUAAUAUCCAGAAUAUAUAACAUGUUGAACCGCCAGGUGUUGAUGUGGUUAAUAAGGACAAGGCAAAUUAAAAGUAACCAUCAAGUUUUUAUUCACUUCUUGCCACAGUAUAAGCAAGGGGCAAAAUGAGAGGUGCUAGUUCUCCAGUGUUUCAUUACUUCCCUAGGAAAGGGUGAGAUAAAUAUGCACUGCUGGGUUGUCGGGGUGGGGCACACUGUCUCACUGCUGAGAAGCCCUGAAGAAGGCUGCUGCCUCUCUGCAUCUUCAUGAACCCAGGGGCCCACGGGGAGGAAGAGGAGGAAGGGCUAGAAGCAGAAAAGUACUGAGUCAGAUAAGACAGAAAUACCUUAGUCAAAGCCUCCAAAAGGAAGCCUCAGUGGAGGUACCUGGGAAGUGCCUCAGCCAACUCCCCCAUCUCCUCAUAAGAAGGCCUCCAAACAGAGUCACCUGAGCUAGGAAUACAGCUGUGUGUGAGUGUGGCUGCAGGGAGUCUCAGUCACUGCCAGUAAGUACCUCCAGAAAACAGCAUACACUGGCAUGGAAAAAAAAAAAAAAGACACUUAUCUGAGGAAUGCAAGCCUGUUUAAAUUAUCAGGUCCAGAGAGGCACUGGAAUGAAACAGCAGUCACAUCACUCCCCCUUGAGCUAAAUAAUUAUCUCUUGAAGACACUUGCUAUGUGGGCUCUAGGCUAACUGACAAGAAGAAGCCACAACUGCCAUAUGCUGGACACCCUAACUCAUACCCUCUAAUUCAAAAAUGUAUAGCCAAUCACUGAACAAUGAUAUAUCUGUCAACUAUUGAGAAUUCCUGUCAAAUAACUUUGUAUUAGCCCACUCCUUGUUCUCUCUCCCUUUAAAAAUUUGCUUGUAACAAGGGCUGAGGGUACACUCCCCAAGGCAACUUUAACACACACCAGGGGCAGCUGUCUUCACUCUGGCUCAAGUAAACUCUUUAAAUUAUAUUUUGUGCCUCAACUCUUCCUUUUAGGUCAACAUUUCCUUAGGUAUGGGGAAAGCAGCUUCCGCCAUUGAGUUUGUCAGAUAAAGCCUUGUAAUUGUCUAUAGUGGGCUCAAACAUCACGUAAGAUUUUGGCCUGAGGCCAAAUUCCUCAUAAAGAAUUCUAAUAACAGAAAGAAAGCCAACCCACUAAAAAUGAGCAAAGGGCUUGAAUAGACAUUUCUCCAGAAGAUAUACAAAUGGCCAAAUAGCACAUGAAAAGAAGUUCAACCUCUUCCCUAAUUAAUAUUAGAGAAAUACAAAUUGAAAUCACAAUGAGAUACAAUUUCAUACUCAUCAGGAUGGCAAUAACUAACCAAAACCAAAAAAGGGAAAAUAACAAGUGUUGUCCAAGAUGAAGAGAAGUUGGAACUGUUGUAUAUUGUUAGUGGAAAUGUAAAAUAGUGUAGCUUCUGAGAAUUAGAAUCUCACCCAGGAAUUCUACUCCUAGGUAUAUGACCCCCAAAAUGGAAAAUAAUUAUAAGAAUUCAAAUAUUUAUACACAAAGAGCAAUACUACUUAUAACAGUCAAAAAGUGGAAAGAACCCAAAUGUCCAUCAAGAGAUGAAUGAAUAAACAAAAUGUGGUGUGUAUAUAUGUGUGUGUGUGAUGGAAUCUUAUUCAGCCACGAAAAGGAAUGAAGUAUUGAUAUAUGCUAAAAUGUGGAUAAACCUCAAAAACAUUAUGCUAAGUGAAAAAAGAGAGAUACAAAGGUCACAUGUAUACAUCGGAGAUGGGGUGCAUCUGAUUGCCUGGUGUCAGAAGUGUGUUGUGAUGAGUUUCAGAGCAAGAAAAACAGUUUGGUUUGGUAUCCGUCUCAUACAGUCAGGUACUUUGAGGCUGAUGUCACAAACUAGUUUAUUAUCUCAUAAAGGAACAAACAAACAAACAAACAAAAACCUUACAUACUUGCCUAACAAACAUGUCAAAACACUUUAUCAAGAACUUACAAGACAGAAAAAAAAGUGAAUUAAAUGCUGUACCUAAUUUCUCAUAAAGAUAGAAGAUACUGCACAAGAUAUUUGUUUGGUAAUGUUUGAUAAUCUCCUUAAUUUACCAUCCUGGAUUUGGAGCAAACUCCUCAUCUGCUCAGGCAUGAAUACUGUUUUUCUUUUGGAAAAAAAAAAAAAAAAGGAAAGUAAACCAGCCUGUCAUUUUGGUACAGUGUAGUGCCUCUGAGUACUGUCUGCCUCAACUGUGUGAGUUUUGUCUAGCUGUGUGACCUUGUAUGAAGACAAAAGGCUUUUUGAAUGAAAGUCCUAAAAUCACCCUUCAAUGGCAACUCUUUAAAAGAAUGAUGGAAUCAAGAAAUUAGCCCUUGGGAAAAAUAUCUUUUAGACAAUGGCCAUUUUUAAAAUUUAUAAAUAUAUUCAUAUUUGUCCUUUAAAAAGAAAUUCAU